UGGGGAAUAUUGCACAAUGGGCGAAAGCCUGAUGCAGCGACGCCGCGUGCGGGAUGAAGGCCUUCGGGUUGUAAACCGCUUUUAAUUGGGAGCAAGCGAGAGUGAGUGUACCUUUUGAAUAAGCACCGGCUAACUACGUGCCAGCAGCCGCGGUAAUACGUAGGGUGCAAGCGUUAUCCGGAAUUAUUGGGCGUAAAGAGCUCGUAGGCGGUUUGUCACGCCUGGUGUGAAAGUCCAUCGCUUAACGGUGGAUCUGCGCCGGGUACGGGCAGGCUAGAGUGCAGUAGGGGAGAUUGGAAUUCCCGGUGUAACGGUGGAAUGUGUAGAUAUCGGGAAGAACACCAAUGGCGAAGGCAGAUCUCUGGGCUGUUACUGACGCUGAGGAGCGAAAGCAUGGGGAGCGAACAGGAUUAGAUACCCUGGUAGUCCAUGCCGUAAACGGUGGAUGCUGGAUGUGGGGCCCUUCCACGGGCUCCGUGUCGGAGCUAACGCGUUAAGCAUCCCGCCUGGGGAGUACGGCCGCAAGGCUAAAA
This 533-nucleotide ribosomal RNA is filed under the name uncultured bacterium. RNAcentral describes it as "partial 16S ribosomal RNA". It matches the Rfam family "Bacterial small subunit ribosomal RNA", at positions 355 to 899 of the family's 1533-position model. The record is from RNAcentral.